AUUGAACGCUGGCGGCAUGCCUUACACAUGCAAGUCGAACGGUAACGGGCCUUCGGGUGCCGACGAGUGGCGAACGGGUGAGUAAUACAUCGGAACGUGCCCGAUCGUGGGGGAUAACGAGGCGAAAGCUUUGCUAAUACCGCAUACGAACUACGGAUGAAAGCAGGGGACCGCAAGGCCUUGCGCGGACGGAGCGGCCGAUGGCAGAUUAGGUAGUUGGUGGGAUAAAAGCUUACCAAGCCGACGAUCUGUAGCUGGUCUGAGAGGAUGAUCAGCCACACUGGGACUGAGACACGGCCCAGACUCCUACGGGAGGCAGCAGUGGGGAAUUUUGGACAAUGGGCGCAAGCCUGAUCCAGCCAUGCCGCGUGCAGGAUGAAGGCCUUCGGGUUGUAAACUGCUUUUGUACGGAACGAAAAGCCUUCUUUUAAUACAGGAGGGUCAUGACGGUACCGGAAGAAUAAGCACCGGCUAACUACGUG
RNAcentral lists this ribosomal RNA (482 nucleotides) under uncultured bacterium. RNAcentral describes it as "partial 16S ribosomal RNA". It matches the Rfam family "Bacterial small subunit ribosomal RNA", at positions 30 to 507 of the family's 1533-position model. The record is from RNAcentral.